GUUGAUCCUGCCAGUAUUAUAUGCUGAUGUUAAAGAUUAAGCCAUGCAUGUGUAAGUUAAAAGUCCUUGAAUGAUGAAACUGCAGACGGCUCAUUAUAACAGUUAUAAUUACCAAGAUCAGUACGCACAAGGAUAUCAGCACGAAGCGAGCUGUUAAUACUUGAGGCGAUCCGGGGUGUAGUAAUACAUUCUGGCCAGGGGGCAACCUCUGUGAUCGACCCUUUAUAGUGAAUUAAGGGGCCGCGACAAUUGUAGAACACACAGUGUUUCACAAGUGAUCUUUGGGAAUUUCUGAUCUAUCAAUUAGUUGGUAGUAUCGAGGACUACCAAGAUUAUCACGGAUAACGAGGAAUUGGGGUUCGACAUCGGAGAGGGAGCCUUAAAUAUGGCUACCACUUCUAAGGAAGGCAGCAGGCGCGCAAAUUACCCACUUCCGACUCGGAGAGGUAGUGACGGCAAAUAACUCUUGACUGACAUUUGUUAGUCUCGAAGGAAUGAUUAAGAAGUAAAUUCUCUUAAGAAAUCAAUUGGAGGGCAAGUCUGGUGCCAGCAGCCGCGGUAAUUCCAGCUCCAAUAGUG
RNAcentral lists this ribosomal RNA (579 nucleotides) under Entamoeba sp. RNAcentral describes it as "SSU rRNA". It matches the Rfam family "Eukaryotic small subunit ribosomal RNA", at positions 7 to 599 of the family's 1831-position model. The record is from RNAcentral. Lineage: Eukaryota; Evosea; Mastigamoebida; Endamoebidae.